GAUGAAGAACGCAGCGAAAUGCGAUAAGUAAUGUGAAUUGCAGAAUUCAGUGAAUCAUCGAAUCUUUGAACGCACAUUGCGCCCCUUGGUAUUCCGAGGGGCAUGCCUGUUCGAGCGUCAUUAUAACCCCUCAAGCUCAGCUUGGUGUUGGGGCCUGCUGCACUGGCAGCCCUUAAAAUCAGUGGCGGCGCCAUCUGGCUCUAAGCGUAGUAAUUCUUCUCGCUAUGGAGUCCUGGUGGAUGCUUGCCAUCAACCCCCAAUUUUUCUAUGGUUGACCUCGGAUCAGGUAGGGAUACCCGCUGAACUUAAGUAUAUCAAUAAGCGGAGGA
This 329-nucleotide unclassified non-coding RNA is filed under the name soil metagenome. Its description in RNAcentral is "partial contains 5.8S ribosomal RNA, internal transcribed spacer 2, and large subunit ribosomal RNA". The stretch from base 1 to 120 matches the Rfam family "5.8S ribosomal RNA", at positions 35 to 154 of the family's 154-position model. The record is from RNAcentral.